UACAGAGGUGGCAAGCGUUGUUCGGAAUUACUGGGCGUAAAGGGCGCGUAGGCGGCCUUCUAAGUCAGACGUGAAAUCCCCAGGCUUAACUUGGGAACUGCGUCUGAUACUGGGAGGCUUGAAUGCGGGAGAGGGAUGUGGAAUUCCAGGUGUAGCGGUGAAAUGCGUAGAGAUCCGGAGGAACCCCAGAGGCGAAGGCGGCGCCCUGGCUCGCAACUGACGCUCAGACACGACAGCAUGGGGAGCGAACGGG
This 253-nucleotide ribosomal RNA is filed under the name uncultured bacterium. Its description in RNAcentral is "partial 16S ribosomal RNA". It matches the Rfam family "Bacterial small subunit ribosomal RNA", at positions 524 to 776 of the family's 1533-position model. The record is from RNAcentral.